CAGUGUGAAGGAGCACCUGCUUCUUGACUUGGGUCUGGAGGCCGAAUACAGGAUCCAGGUGCAUCCCUACAAGUCCAUCCUGAGCGAGCUCAAGGCCCUGUGUGCUGACCUCUCCCCAAGGGAGAAGGUGUGGGUCAGUGACAAGGCCAGCUAUGCUGUGAGCGAGACCAUCCCCAAGGACCACCGCUGCUGUAUGCCUUACACCCCCAUCUGCAUCGCCAAAGCUGUGAAGAAUUCAGCUGAGUCAGAAGGCAUGAGGCGGGCUCACGUUCCCAAAGGUGGUGUGACAGAGAUCUCAGCUGCUGACAAAGCUGAGGAGUUUCGCAGGCAACAGGCAGACUUUGUGGACCUGAGCUUCCCAACAAUUUCCAGUACGGGACCCAACGGCGCCAUCAUUCACUACGCGCCAGUCCCUGAGACGAAUAGGACCUUGUCCCUGGAUGAGGUGUACCUUAUUGACUCGGGUGCUCAAUACAAGGAUGGCACCACAGAUGUGACGCGGACAAUGCAUUUUGGGACCCCUACAGCCUACGAGAAGGAAUGCUUCACAUAUGUCCUCAAGGGCCACAUAGCUGUGAGUGCAGCCGUUUUCCCGACUGGAACCAAAGGUA
Molecule: small RNA, 611 nt
Filed under: Pan troglodytes (chimpanzee)
Lineage: Eukaryota; Metazoa; Chordata; Mammalia; Primates; Hominidae
Description: processed transcript
Source: RNAcentral